RNAcentral lists this long non-coding RNA (248 nucleotides) under Prunus persica (peach). RNAcentral's name for it is "long non-coding RNA (PPER_LNC002235)". Lineage: Eukaryota; Viridiplantae; Streptophyta; Magnoliopsida; Rosales; Rosaceae. The record is from RNAcentral.
CUGAGGUGAUUGCAGAGAGCAUUGCCUUGGCGCAGAAGCAACAAGGGGGUCCAAGGGCUGAGCUGACUAGCUCAGAACUGGCCCUAUUUGAGGAUGCCGAGGCAGAGCACUCUACUGCCGCUCCAGCGGCUGAGGAUCAGGCGGAGAGGUCUGCAUCAGAGCCUGUGGAUCAGGCAGAACUAUCUAUUGUAGUCCCGGAGGCUGAGGUGGAAACAACUGCCGCUGUUCCUGUGGUUGUGGUAAUUUUC